Canis lupus familiaris (dog) is the source of this 1100-nucleotide RNA transcript. It is a transcript of the gene named chromosome 18 C11orf49 homolog, with no coding region annotated. The record is from RefSeq and is a predicted model, not a curated record. The transcript is spliced from 9 exons. Lineage: Eukaryota; Metazoa; Chordata; Mammalia; Carnivora; Canidae.
CGCCCCCCUCCCGCCGCGUGGUUGCCACGGCAACGGAGAGAGCCGGCGACCUGGGUUCCGGAAGCCGGAGAGCUGGAGCCUGGAAGCUCCCACUGGUCAAAGGAUGCUGAGUCCGGAGCGCCUAGCCCUACCGGACUACGAGUAUCUGGCCCAGCGACAUGUCCUCACAUACAUGGAGGAUGCAGUGUGUCAGCUGCUAGAGAAUAAGGAAGAUAUUAGCCAAUAUGGCAUUGCCAGGUUCUUCACUGAAUAUUUUAACAGUGUAUGUCAGGGAACUCACAUUCUCUUUCGGGAAUUCAGCUUCAUCCAAGCCACCCCUCACAAUAGGGCAUCAUUCUUACGGGCCUUCUGGAGAUGCUUCCGAACUGUGGGCAAAAAUGGCGAUUUGCUGACCAUGAGAGAAUAUCACUGUCUGCUGCAAUUGCUGUGCCCAGAUUUCCCGCUGGAGCUUACUCAGAAAGCAGCCAGGAUUGUGCUCAUGGAUGACGCCAUGGAUUGCUUGAUGUCUUUUUCAGAUUUCCUUUUCGCCUUCCAGAUCCAAUUUUACUACUCAGAAUUCCUGGAGAGUGUGGCUGCCAUCUAUCAGGACCUGCUGGCAGGCAAGAAUCCCAAUACGGUGAUCGUGCCGACGUCCUCCAGUGGCCAGCACCGCCAGCGGCCUGCGUUGGGUGAGGCUAGCACGCUGGAGGGCGUGGAGGCGUCCCUGUUCUACCAGUGUCUGGAGAACUUGUGUGACCGGCACAAAUACAGCUGUCCACCCCCCGCACUUGUCAAAGAGGUACUAAGCAACGUUCAGAGACUGACCUUCUACGGAUUCCUUGUGGCUCUUUCAAAGCAUCAUGGGAUCAACCAAGCCCUAGGAGCUUUGCCUGACAAAGGGGACCUGAUGCACGACCCAGCCAUGGAUGAGGAGCUGGAACGGCUGGUGGUGAGGUCGAGGCUGCACCGGACCUCGCGGCAGCACAGGGCCGAGAAGCCAGGGGCCUUUGGCUUUCAGAGAAGAGACAAGCUGGAGGCCCCGGAGAGCAUGCCCUCAGCUUCAGCACCAGACACCCUGCCCAUAUCGGUGGGAGCCCAGGGAGUGAGGCCAGGGACCUGCA